RNAcentral lists this ribosomal RNA (677 nucleotides) under uncultured Bacteroidales bacterium. Its description in RNAcentral is "bacterial SSU rRNA". It matches the Rfam family "Bacterial small subunit ribosomal RNA", at positions 57 to 728 of the family's 1533-position model. The record is from RNAcentral. Lineage: Bacteria; Pseudomonadati; Bacteroidota; Bacteroidia; Bacteroidales.
GCAAGUCGAGGGGCAGCACAGGUAGCAAUACCGGGUGGCGACCGGCGCACGGGUGAGUAACGCGUAUGCAACUUGCCCAUCAGAGGGGGAUAACCCGGCGAAAGUCGGACUAAUACCGCAUGAAGCAGGGGCCCCGCAUGGGGAUAUUCGCUAAAGAUUCAUCGCUGAUAGAUAGGCAUGCGUUCCAUUAGGCAGUUGGCGGGGUAACGGCCCACCAAACCGACGAUGGAUAGGGGUUCUGAGAGGAAGGUCCCCCACAUUGGUACUGAGACACGGACCAAACUCCUACGGGAGGCAGCAGUGAGGAAUAUUGGUCAAUGGCCGAGAGGCUGAACCAGCCAAGUCGCGUGAGGGAUGAAGGUUCUAUGGAUCGUAAACCUCUUUUAUAAGGGAAUAAAGUGCGGGACGUGUCCCGUUUUGUAUGUACCUUAUGAAUAAGGAUCGGCUAACUCCGUGCCAGCAGCCGCGGUAAUACGGAGGAUCCGAGCGUUAUCCGGAUUUAUUGGGUUUAAAGGGUGCGUAGGCGGCCUUUUAAGUCAGCGGUGAAAGUCUGUGGCUCAACCAUAGAAUUGCCGUUGAAACUGGGGGGCUUGAGUAUGUUUGAGGCAGGCGGAAUGCGUGGUGUAGCGGUGAAAUGCAUAGAUAUCACGCAGAACCCCGAUUGCGAAGGCAGCCUG